AGUAAGAUGGUUGAGAAAUAAACAAUAGACUGUAAAUCUAUUAACGAGGUUUAACUUAUACCUCUCUUGCUA
Molecule: transfer RNA, 72 nt
Filed under: Euphaea decorata
Lineage: Eukaryota; Metazoa; Arthropoda; Insecta; Odonata; Euphaeidae
Description: tRNA-Tyr
Rfam family: tRNA
About the family: Transfer RNA (tRNA) molecules are approximately 80 nucleotides in length. Their secondary structure includes four short double-helical elements and three loops (D, anti-codon, and T loops).
Source: RNAcentral